This 504-nucleotide ribosomal RNA is filed under the name uncultured bacterium. RNAcentral's name for it is "partial 16S ribosomal RNA". It matches the Rfam family "Bacterial small subunit ribosomal RNA", at positions 30 to 523 of the family's 1533-position model. The record is from RNAcentral.
AUUGAACGCUGGCGGCAGGCCUAACACAUGCAAGUCGAACGGUAGCACAGAGAGCUUGCUCUCGGGUGACGAGUGGCGGACGGGUGAGUAAUGUCUGGGAAACUGCCCGAUGGAGGGGGAUAACUACUGGAAACGGUAGCUAAUACCGCAUAACGUCGCAAGACCAAAGUGGGGGACCUUCGGGCCUCACACCAUCGGAUGUGCCCAGAUGGGAUUAGCUAGUAGGUGGGGUAAUGGCUCACCUAGGCGACGAUCCCUAGCUAGUCUGAGAGGAUGACCAGCCACACUGGAACUGAGACACGGUCCAGACUCCUACGGGAGGCAGCAGUGGGGAAUAUUGCACAAUGGGCGCAAGCCUGAUGCAGCCAUGCCGCGUGUAUGAAGAAGGCCCUCGGGUUGUAAAGUACUUUCAGCGGGGAGGAAGGCGGUGAAGUUAAUAACUUCACCGAUUGACGUUACCCGCAGAAGAAGCACCGGCUAACUCCGUGCCAGCAGCCGCCGUAA